This 253-nucleotide ribosomal RNA is filed under the name uncultured bacterium. RNAcentral's name for it is "partial 16S ribosomal RNA". It matches the Rfam family "Bacterial small subunit ribosomal RNA", at positions 524 to 776 of the family's 1533-position model. The record is from RNAcentral.
UACGUAGGGUGCAGGCGUUAAUCGGAAUUACUGGGCGUAAAGCGUGCGCAGGCGGUCUUUUAAGUCAGAUGUGAAAUCCCCGGGCUUAACCUGGGAAUUGCAUUUGUGACUGCCCGGCUAGAGUGUGUCAGAGGGGGGUAGAAUUCCACGUGUAGCAGUGAAAUGCGUAGAGAUGUGGAGGAAUACCGAUGGCGAAGGCAGCCCCCUGGGUCAAGACUGACGCUCAUGCACGAAAGCGUGGGGAGCAAACAGG